GCCCUGAGAGGCGGUGAGGCUGUGCAGUCCGGGUUCUGCUGAGCUUUCUCCCCACUUCCUUUUCGCUGCCCAGUUUUCCUGUCCUUGAUGUCCCGGGCCUGGCGUGUCUUGGACGGAAACUCGGCAUCUUCUGUUUACUGCUGGCAUCCACGAAACAGUAACAGGCCCCAGACUCUUCACAGAUCCUGAAACCACUCACCUGCCUAAGACUGACAACGUUGGCACAAUUUCGACCUCCCUGUGCCUUUCUUCCCGGGGAAGGAAGCUGAGAGGGGAUGAAUCAAGUAACAUAAUAAACUUCUGAGAAGAAAAGAAGCUUCAUAUCAAGACUUGGAAAGAAGUGCAAAUCUCUUAGUGAAGAAACUGCCAAGAAAAUUACUGCUCACCUAGCUCAAAGAGAAACAUUAAUUAAAGGCAGGUUACCAGGCCAGGGGUUGAAUUGAAGCCACAGCUGCUAGCCUUCGCCACAGCCACAGCAACACAGGAUCCAAGCUGCAUCCGUGAGCUACACCACAGCCCACAGCAACACCAGAACCCCAACCCACUGAGCGAGGCCAGGGAUGGAACCUCAAAGUCAUGGUCACUAGUCCAAUUCAUUUCUGCUGUGCCACAAUGGGAACUCCUCCUUUGGUAUUGUUAACAUUUGGACCUUUCACUCACGUGUGCUCUGAUCUUCACAAAAGGGCUUUAGGAUAUUAAUUAGUCUAGAAACAAAUGUAUCCUUAUCUGGUGUUGAUCACCAUUAUACAGUUACUAAACUAAAAGUGCAUCAAAUAUUAAAAAUCAGUUAAGUUACAGAAAACAUAAUGAAUGAUCCGAAAAGACUGCAUGCCAUCUAGAGAAAGAAAAAAUUUCUGCUUUGAUUAUUUUAUGGAUAUAUCUUUUGUAAUUCAUUUAACCUGGCAACUUAACAUUUUUGCACCUGUCUAUUGCAUUUCAUAGUAUAAAUUUCCAUAGCUAUUAUCUUUUAGUUUCUUACACGUUGUUCUCCAUAUAGCAACAAAUUGUAAGUGUUGUGCUUGUUGGAAGCUAGAUGUGGUGUGUAUUGAGAACUAUAUAUAGAGGUGGCCCUCAAGUACUUAGAAGUAAAGGAAAUAGAAUGCCUUGUGAGACAAACAGUAAACUGAGCAUAACUACCCUAUCUUUGAUGGGAAAAUUCUCCUGCAAAAGAUAUAACUUUCUGUGCCUUCAGAACUUUAAAAUAUGGAUGAUGUUUAUAUA
RNAcentral lists this long non-coding RNA (1221 nucleotides) under Sus scrofa (pig). Its description in RNAcentral is "lncRNA (ENSSSCG00005041038.1)". The record is from RNAcentral. Lineage: Eukaryota; Metazoa; Chordata; Mammalia; Artiodactyla; Suidae.